Scophthalmus maximus (turbot) is the source of this 2022-nucleotide long non-coding RNA. RefSeq lists it as uncharacterized. The record is from RefSeq and is a predicted model, not a curated record. NCBI's taxonomy places the organism in Eukaryota, Metazoa, Chordata, Actinopteri, Pleuronectiformes, Scophthalmidae. The transcript is spliced from 2 exons.
UCUUGACAUCACUGACGCUGAUGGCGCCUUGCCGCCAGUCGUGGGACUGGUGACGAGCAGGGGACAGGACGGGUGCCAGGGGAUUCUCCAGAGUCUGAGAGAAGACGACGGUGGAGUAGUCGGAGGCGCAGGAGGAGAGCGAUGGUCCCAGCAGCUCCAGUACCGGCGUCAGUGUUGACCUGCAUGAAGAUGUCGUGGUUACCGGGCGACAGGUUCUCCAGAGAGUAAUGGUGAACAUCACCAGGCACAAAGACGCCUGGAUGAAAGGAGGAGAAAGGUACAUUAUAACACCAGUGUGUGUGUGUGUGUGUGUGUGUGUGUGUGUGCCACUCACUCCUAGUUGGCUGGUGAGCUGUGGUGUAGUGGAGUGUGUAGUUGCGGAUGAAACCAUGAAGCAGCUCCACUGGUACGGGACUCCAGCUGAGCUCCACCGUCCCACCGGAGAUCUGCUGCACCUCCACAGUCGGACCAGCUGAGGGCGCUGCAAGGGAGGUGAUGAUGAUGAUGAUGAUAAUGAUGACGAUGAACUACAACUAUGUUGUGAGCACAAGGCAGAACCUCGAUCACUAUCUCAGAACAACUGAAGUGAUUGAGUUGUGUUUUUUCUUCAACAUACUUGAGCCUGUCUUGUCUGAUAAAUGAAGAUAGAGAAAAUCUUGACUUACAAAUGUAUUACCCUCGCCAAGGAGGUUAUGUUUCACCCCUGUCUGUUUCUUGUUCAUUUGUUGGCUGGUUGGUUGGUUUGGUUCAUUUCUUUAAAGUUUUGUGACCUUUUCACAGAUUUCCCAGUUAUUAAAAGGGGAUAUAUUUAGGGGAAUAAUAUCUAUAAGUGUUCAUUUUCAAUACAUCCCCAGGAGAAGAGAGUAUUUUGGAUAUGAACCCUAAAUCUUCAUGGACACGGUCCAACUAAGUGUCUCCAAGUGUGAACUUUUCCAUGGACUCCAGUUGAAUUUGAAACAUAACUCUGGCUCGCUGUCACGACUCUAUCAGAACACCGGCACAGAAACAACACUCGACUUGGGAUUCAUUUUAUAUGAUUUGUCUCAUGCUUGUUAAAAAGCAAUGAAACAAAAAAAAUUGAUGUCACUCGGCCGCUUCCAGUCUCAGUGCGCACGACUGGGAAAAAAACACCAUCAGGCGAAUACAGACAGAUGUUUUAUCAGAACGCGAGUGAGGUCAUCUGCUUUUAUGCCGGACUAACGUCCAGUUGAUGGCUCCGUUUAUCACUGACUUCCAUUUGUCAUGUUCACAUAAACGGCCUCUAAUGGUGCACUCGAUACAAGGAGGACGUUUCCCCUGGUCUGGAAAACACGAGAGGAAAAUAAAAAACAACAGCAAGCAGCCACGACAUAUAAAAGAAGGGGCAAAUCACUAAUACUUGUUGUAAAUAAACAAAUAUUUCAGUCCACAGUAGACACAGUUCUGUCCCUUCCAGGGCAAAGAGAAAGCUAUUCGUUCACCCUCGAUAUUAAACGACAGCGCUACGAAAUACGAUACAGAAGCCGGGAAUCACUUGCAUCUCAGACACAUCAGUAAACACUGUGUGAUUAAACUGCACGGUCGUCGCUGAUACACGCGUUAAAUAUAAACCAGUGUGUAACUAAACGCCGCUGAUUAAUUCUCCCCGGACGAUGGAUUGUUAGCGCAUCAGAAAAGUGGACGGCCUCGUUUUGGUGUGUAAAGAGCGACGUUGUUUGUGGAGCCCCGGUUCCUUAUCACCCUGUGCACAGAUUGUGUUGUGUGUUUUACUGUACACUGGAGCUUCUGGUUAAUGAAAUAUUGGAAAAGAAUUAGAUCAUUUUUUAUCAAAUGCAGAUAAUUAAAGUUGUUCUGCAGACUUUGACCCCGACCAAUGCGGCCUACAAAUGAGACGUGACCGGUGAGGAAACUGCUUUGUGAAAAUGCCGCUUUUACUGCCAUCUGGUGGUUGAAAUGUCAACUUUGAGGAACAUGAAUUGUCAUAGUUACUGCUGUUCAUCUGUUAUUGUAAAUCAGCUCACUAUCAUGUACAACAGCUUCGGG